This is a long non-coding RNA of Helianthus annuus (common sunflower), 2394 nucleotides long. RefSeq lists it as uncharacterized. The transcript has 5 exons. NCBI's taxonomy places the organism in Eukaryota, Viridiplantae, Streptophyta, Magnoliopsida, Asterales, Asteraceae. The record is from RefSeq and is a predicted model, not a curated record.
AGAGCUCGUCUUUCACCACCACCAUAAUUGAAUGCCAUCAUUUAAGCCUCUCCAACAGAAAGUAAAGAGACGCCUGCUUCACUUCAUCUUCCCCUAACCCAUCCAAUCCCAUAAAAUCCGCCACACACUGCAUAGCCUCUCUGCUUUACUCCCGACGCGAACCAACGAGCCACCACCAUCUACCUCUGUCGGGAUUGCAGGUAUGUUGAUUGAGGUAAGGAGAUAUUCUAGAUGCUUUCAACAUUUUAAGUGUACACGUGCAGCAAUGCAUAUCAUGGGAAACCAAGCGUGGAGGAGGUCAUGUUUCUAACAUGGAUGGUGUUGGCUCGAACAUGGAUGGUGUUGUCGGUGGUGCUACGAGUCAACAAAUAUGGUCUUAGACAAUUUCAAUCACCACUAUUCAAAGAGUGCAAAAUGUCUAAAGUUGGAGUUAAUAUAGCAUCUCCUGGCAUGGUUCUCACAGACUUGCUAUUGAGUAUUCAUAACAAGCAAAUGUUCAACAUAAUCUGUUAACUACCAACGACGGUUGCUAGAACAUUGGUCCCAUGGAUGCGGUCGUAAAAGGAAGCAUGUUGGCAUUUGUCGUGGUGUUAUCUUCUUGUUUCUUCAUUCUGUAUUCUGAACUGUUUUGAGGUACUGAAAUGUUUGAAGGGCGUGGAGUCACUGGUUAAGGAUAGGGAGGUUGGUUGGAGGAAGGAAGGAACGUGAGACAUUGCUGGCCCAUCAAGAGAAGCUAAGGAUGACCUCAAGUACUUCCAAACCGUUGCAUCCGAUGCUUCCAAAGAUGUAGAAGAUUUACCGGCUGAGAUGACCAUGGUUCAAGACGACAAUCAAAAGUUGGCUUCUGAACGACAAAUCAUGUCCCUCAACAUGCAAGUUAGUUGGGAACAUGAUGGGGUUUAUAAUCAUCCAAGAAGGUAUGUAGAAAAGUUGUAACAAGUUAAAGUUUAACAAAACAAAAAUGAAUUCCUCACUUUGGACCUCAAAAUGGUGAUGUCCCAACCUAGUUUACUAAGGUAAACUUGUGGAUACACUACUAGAGGUGUUCCAGUGAGUUUGAAGCAAGAAUUCAUGAAGAAGAGAAAGAAAAGUGAGUUUGAAGCUCACUUCUAGACUUGUUUAUAAUCUGCCUUAAACUUGAAAAUUGAGUAACUUGAGAGUAUUUUGAGAGUCAUUUAAGUGUGGGAAAAGUGAAAUGAAGGUGUGGAAGACUUGUUUAUAUAAUGGUUGAUUAAGGUUAGAGUUUUAUUGAAGAAUGAAGGUAAUUGGGGAAGAAAGGAGGUAAGAAAAGUGAAAUCCGGAUCGGGCAAAAACUUCCUUGGCUCCCAAACAAAAACUGCCAGUUCACUGGCUUACGGAUCGUAUGGGCCAGAGCUUACGGUCCGUGAGCCCAUUAGGCGCCCAUGGUUUUUGAAUCCCAUACAGACCGUAAGACCUAUAGUCUUGCGAUCCGUAACCGCUUGCAAGUGCCAAUAAUUUAUUUAGUUUACGGCCCGUAACCACGAAUGGCUUAUGGUCCGUAGGCGUCACUCAGAGGCCAAAAAUUGGCAUGUUGACAUAAAUGGUCCUUCCACGACAUUCUUCCAUAUGUUUUGACAUAUUUAGUCCCUCUCGCCAAACAACGUGACAUAAAAUGAGAGUUUAUCAGACACGUGUCAUUAUAUCAUUCUACACAAAUUUCCGAGGUGUUACAUCAGGCAAAAAAAAAAAAAAAAACUUGCGGAUUAAGCUUCUACGUGUCGCGCGGACUUCAAGUCCUUGCCCACUGCACGCAGCGUGUUCGUUUGGCAGCCGAAGUUUGUUUUUUUUUGACAUAAUGGCCCCUGAACUUUCAUAUGUUUGUCAUUUUACGUUGUCAUUUUACGUUAAAAGUUUAUAUUUUAGGGGCUUUCAAGUAUAGGAAGUGUACGCAUGAAUAUAUUACGUAUUGUGUGUGUAUGAGUGAUAGUAUGUAUGUAUAACAAGUCUCGGUUUUGUGUAUAAACAAUUAUUUAACGAUUGAUUGCAUAUAACACAAGUAUGAUUGAUAUAAAUACGAUUUUCUUAUUAUAAUCGAAGUCUUGGAUUACAAUAUUGGAAAUGAAAUACGAAUACAGGUUUCUAUAAAUAUAAAUGCAAAGACAGCUUUCUAAAUAUGGAUUAUACAGAAAUGCUAAGCGUUACAUGACCCAUCAGUAUAUUGUAUGCCAUUUCGUCUAAAUAUGGAUUAUACAAAAAUGCUACAUGACCCAUCGGUAUUGUAUGCCAUUUGGUCUAAAUAUGGAUUAUACAGAAAUGUGAAGCGUUACAUGACCCAUCGGUAUUGUAUGCCAUUUCGUCCAGACACAACCAUCGGUUUCAUAAUCAAUUUUUGAAACUCGAUCAGCAUGUAACCAUGCCUUGAUCUUUCUAUUG